This 82-nucleotide transfer RNA is filed under the name SAR324 cluster bacterium. RNAcentral describes it as "tRNA-Leu". It matches the Rfam family "tRNA". From Rfam's summary of the family: Transfer RNA (tRNA) molecules are approximately 80 nucleotides in length. Their secondary structure includes four short double-helical elements and three loops (D, anti-codon, and T loops). Lineage: Bacteria; Deltaproteobacteria. The record is from RNAcentral.
GCGAAUGUGGUGAAAUUGGUAUACACGCAGCCUUGAGGUGGCUGUGGCGCAAGCCGUGGGAGUUCGAGUCUCCUCGUUCGCA